GACGAACGCUGGCGGCGUGCUUAACACAUGCAAGUCGAACGGACAGACAGAGAGCUUGCUCUCUUGAAGUUAGUGGCGAACGGGUGAGUAACGCGUAAUCAACCUGCCCUUCAGAGGGGGAUAACAACGGGAAACCGUUGCUAAUACCGCGUACGAUUCAUGAACGGCAUCGUUUAUGAAUGAAAGGUGGCCUCUAUGUAUAAGCUAUCGCUGAAGGAGGGGAUUGCGUCUGAUUAGCUAGUUGGAGGGGUAACGGCCCACCAAGGCAAUGAUCGGUAGCCGGUCUGAGGGGAUGAACGGCCACAUUGGGACUGAGACACGGCCCAAACUCCUACGGGAGGCAGCAGUGGGGAAUCUUCCGCAAUGGACGAAAGUCUGACGGAGCAACGCCGCGUGAGUGAUGAAGGUCUUCGGAUUGUAAAGCUCUGUUAAUCGGGACGAAAGAGUUCUGCGUGAAUAAUGCAGGAAAGUGACGGUACCGGAAUAGAAAGCCACGGCUAACUACGUGCCAGCCGCCGCCGUAA
This 524-nucleotide ribosomal RNA is filed under the name uncultured bacterium. RNAcentral's name for it is "partial 16S ribosomal RNA". It matches the Rfam family "Bacterial small subunit ribosomal RNA", at positions 28 to 523 of the family's 1533-position model. The record is from RNAcentral.